UCUUGAUGACGAGCACAUCUGUAGAUGACGAGUCCGAAAUCCAUUCAGUUUCCGUGAGGACAAAUCGAGGCAUUUGUCCGAGAGAA
RNAcentral lists this small nucleolar RNA (86 nucleotides) under Dichanthelium oligosanthes. RNAcentral's name for it is "Plant small nucleolar RNA SNOR75". It matches the Rfam family "Plant small nucleolar RNA SNOR75". Rfam says of the family: U15 is a member of the C/D class of snoRNA which contain the C (UGAUGA) and D (CUGA) box motifs. The record is from Rfam by way of RNAcentral. Lineage: Eukaryota; Viridiplantae; Streptophyta; Magnoliopsida; Poales; Poaceae.